UCCAAUCUGCAGCGCUUCCUCGACUGCACCACCCCGACAGUCGACACGCACAUUCUCCCCAAGACCAAUGGCCGGCUGUCCAAUGACGCGUGGCACCAUGCCGACGCCGACAGCGUCGAGUACUUCAACCUCGCCGACCUGUGGGAGCAGUACUACGAGUGGAGCGCGUACGGCGCCGGAGCCACCGUGCAGCUGCACGGAGGGGACAAAGUGGUUCAGUACUACGUCCCGUACUUGUCAGGGAUACAGCUAUACACCAACAAAGUCCUGAAUGCGUCCAGGAGUUUUGGUGAGGAUUAUGGCAUGGACUUCUGGAGCGAUGAUGACGACAAUGAGAAGAUGUCAAGAUCCUGGAGUUCAACAUCUGACGACUCAUUUAACUGCGACGUGGUAGGGGGGAACAGGAGGCGACCUGGCCAUUUGUACUUUGAGUUCUUUGAAGUUUGCUCUCCUUAUGGAAGGAUCCCACUCAUGGAUAAGGUAUAUGAACUAUCCCAGGGCUUUCCCGGGUUGACAUCGCUGAAGAGUGUCGACCUUUCGCCUGUCAGUUGGAUGUCAGUUGCCUGGUAUCCUAUCUACCACAUUCCCUACCAACGCAAUGUGAAGGACUUGUCUGCGUGCUUCCUAACUUACCAUACCAUUUCCUCUUCAUUUCAAGAUCACACACCGGAGACCAUGACCUAUGGCUCAGCUGCCAGUGGGAAACAGAAUGACCAGAAGGCCAACACUGUAUCACUAGCCCCGUUUGGACUCGCAGCAAACAAGAUACAGGGCUCUCUGUGGACCAACCCCCGGACAGGAGAUCAUAAGAGGAUCGUCUCCCUCUUCGGCGCAGCAGACUCCUGGCUUAAGCAGCUUGGAGUCCGGCACCAUGACUUCAACUACUUCGUCACUCACCCCAUGUGA
This 906-nucleotide ribosomal RNA is filed under the name Triticum aestivum (bread wheat). Its description in RNAcentral is "partial small subunit ribosomal RNA". Lineage: Eukaryota; Viridiplantae; Streptophyta; Magnoliopsida; Poales; Poaceae. The record is from RNAcentral.